RNAcentral lists this long non-coding RNA (5571 nucleotides) under Medicago truncatula (barrel medic). RNAcentral describes it as "lncRNA gene28204". The record is from RNAcentral. Lineage: Eukaryota; Viridiplantae; Streptophyta; Magnoliopsida; Fabales; Fabaceae.
CUCAGAUAGAGGUGUACUGUCAGAAAAGAGAGCAAAAAGGUGGAGAAGGAGCAUGGCUGCAACUGCAAGUUGGAGUCACCUCGCCAUGACACGGCUGUUUUCUUCUUCACUCACAAUGUCUGAUCUGAUGCAGUUGCAUGAAACAUCAUCACUGCCUCGUUAUAUCCAAAAGAAGAAGAGAGAGAAAAAGAAGGUCGAAUCGAGUUCAACGACGGCGAUGGCGACAAGGAUGAUGAUGGUGCAGAGAGAGAGAGAGAGAGAGAGCUUUUGUUGUUGUUAUUGUUGGUGGUGGUAGAGUGGAGUUUAGUAGGAAUGAUCAUCAGCAAUGAGUGAGAAACUCAUGAAAGCCUCACCCAAGAACUUGCAAUGGCAACAAAAAAUGAGGCUCAGAAAGAGAGUGGUGGCUGCGUCAGAAACGCCUUGCCACGACCAUUCAUCCAUCCAUCAUCACAGCCUCAUUCGUUUUAAUUCAAUUUAAUAAUACCCAACAAAAUUAGAAUAAGAAGCAAGUAUUCAGCUACAUGCAUUGCAAAUCUUCAAUACAUACUGUUGGAAAUCCCGCCUUUAUUGCGGUCCGCCCCUGUGGCCUAAAUUGCGGCCUUUGGUUUGCCUUCAUUGCAGCUUCCAACACCUUCAUUGUGUUGGCUUUGAGGGGGUGGAUUUAGUCCCACAUCGGAUAGAUAGGACUCUUGAGAAGAGUUUAUAGAGAGGAGGCAUUCCUCACCUUACAAGCAGGUUUUGUAAGGAUGAGUUAGGCCCCAAAUUUCAACACUUACCAUCAGAAUAUACAUAAUAAGUAAUAGGAAAAGUAGAAAAGUGUUGAAUGACUCGACUUUUAACACUCCCAUUUAAUGAUAAGUCAGUUAAAUAUAACAGAUGUUAGACCAUCCACAAUGCAGCACUCUAUUUGGGUGCUUAAACGGGCCCCGACCGUACACGCCAUUCGUUUUAUAAUUAAUACUUAAUAAGCACCCAAUAUCUCCAACCCCGCACCUCAAAAUAGUUAUUAAUUGGGUCCCUGCAAUAACUCUAUAUCAUUAAAUUUUAACAAUAAUUUAUAUACUUUUAAAAUAUUGAAGUAAUUUAAUUAUAAAUUAUAAACAAAGUUAAAACUUGAGAAAACAAUAUAAAAUAAACGAUGGUAAAUUAUUCGUUGUUUUGUUUAAAUACAAUCACUGUAUGUUUGUUUUGUUUUUUUCCUAUUCAAAUGGGUAAAUUAUUUUUUGUUUUAGAAAAAGUUUUUGUUGAAAAUUUAAUGUUGAUCAAUUAAAUAUUACUCUUGCAACUAAUAUAUAAUUUACUUUUUAAUAUUAAAAUAAUACAACAAUUGAAUAAAGAAAAAAAUAGAAUUAAUUCCCAUGAGUAAUAGGAGAGAGAGGGUGCCUUAUAAAGCACCCAUCUUUAUAGGCACCGUAUUAAUUGGUGUCACAAUGGGGGUGCCUAUUUAACAUGGAUAGAAUGAGCUAAAGCCUUGGGAAGCAUCUGUUAUUAUUAGAAGUAAAACCAGAUUUAAUCUAAGCUUUCACAAUUGAAUCUCCACUAACUUGGUUGGCUAAAUUGCUCACAAUAUACAAGUAUCAACAUAUUUGACCGGAAACUAGUGGCUGCAUUGAUAACUUGGUUGACACUUUCUCACAAUUUAUUGAAGGACGCUUUCUGUUUGUAAGGACAAGCUUGUCUUUCUUUAAUUAUUGUCCGGAUUUUAAAAUCCGAACGCGUUUUAUGCAAAAUUUAGAAUCCGGACGGCAAAAAAAUGAUCCUUAGGAAAAUAUGUAUUUUGCACAACCGGAUUUUAGAUUAACUGAAACGAUGACAACAUAAAAAAUUUAACAAAAUACCCUUUAAUAUAUAUAAUACAUAUUUAGGCUCAUUCAAAUACAUACCCAACACACGAGAAGAAACAGUUCAACAUACCGAACCAUUUCUCAAUCUGUGUCAGUUUGUAACCAUGAAAAUUAUAGCAAAACAAGGUUGCAACAUCUUAUAUUAAAGAUUGACAACGUUCAGUUGAUUAUGAAUCUAUUUCUUUGCCAUGGGUAUGAAGAUGUUAAUAAAAUUAUUGUACCUUUAGGCUCUUCCUAUUUUGAAGACGACAAUCAAAAGCACCGGAAAAGGAAACAUAUAUAGCCACAAGUUAGGUCAAGGAGCAACAUAUUUUGCACAUCCAGAUUUUAGAAUAACAGAAACGUUGACAAAAUAUGUAGCCACAAUAUGUAUUUUGCACAUCCAGAUUUUAGAAUAACAGAAACGUUGACAAAAUAUGUAGCCACGAUAUGUAUUUUGCACAUCCAGAUUUUAGAAUAACAGAAACGUUGACAAAAUAUCCUUUUAUAUAUAAAACAUAUUUCGGCUCAUGAUAGAAACUCCUUGGCAGAACCAUCCAUCCAACAUCCGCAUUCAAAUACAUACCCAACAUACCACAAGAAACAGUUCAACAAACCGAACCAUUCCCAAUCUGUGUCGGUUCGCAACCAUGAAAAUUAUAGCAAAACAAGGUUGCAACAUCUUAUAUUAAAGAUUGACAAUGUUUUCAGUUGGUUAUGAAUCUACCUUUUUGCCAUCGGUAUGAAGAUUUUAAUCAAUUUAUAUCUUUAGCCUCUUCCCAUUUUGAAAUUUAAAAAGAGCUAAAUAGGUCAUCUAGCAGCUCCAAAGUUGACUCUGAAAGACUACAAACGAAAGCACUGGAAAAGAAAACAUAUAUAGCCAAAAGUUAGGUCAAGACAGAGCAACAUAUUUAUCCAUGAUGGUGGUAUUAAUAUUCUGAAUAGAACACUUUUUGCAGAAUACACACAUAAAAGAAAGAAAAGUUGAACUAAGGACAAUAUGUAGAUUGUUUGUUGCCGAAACCACAUUUCUUCUUUGCAGAAUCAUAUUCAUUGCAGAAUACACACAUAGAAAAUUGGAUCACAUUUUGAACUUAAGACUAAUGUCUAAUGCAAGGCUACUUUGGCAAAAGUUAGAGGGUCUGCGUCACAUGAAAUUGAGAGCAUGUUUGUUACAGCUUUUUUCAUAAAAAAAUCACAUUUUUAAACAAAAUAAUACUUUUAGCAGUUUUUCUCCAUCUGAAAAAACAUUAAAACCUGCUUCAAAUUAGAAGCUGCUUUUAGUAAUUUUUCAGAAAAUCAUUUUCUGGUAACUAAAUUUUUUUUUUAUUUUUAAAAAAGUGAUUUUUCAUUCUAGUAUACAAACAGAAAACAACUUCUGCUUUUUUAAAAUAUCUCCAAAAAUUACUCUCUAAAUAACUAAUUUUUAGUAGUUUCUCAGAAAAUCGUUUUCUGAUAACUAACUUCAGCAAAAAAAAACUGAUUUUUCAUUCUAAAUAACUAAUGAAGUUGGUGUUGUGAAUGAGAUGAGAUGAAUGUAAAAGAAAUGUACCUCAUUUCUUCAACAAAAUCAAUAUCAAAUUUGUUAAGCAUGUAUAGAUAUUGACAUCUUGUGUUUUGCUUGUACCACCACCUGAAAAGUAGGAGCUGAGGUGAAAAAGACAGACUGAACCCUAAUCUAUCUCAGCCUCUCACUCCAGAGAGACUAAGAGUGUGGGGGUGUAGAAGAAGAAUAGGAGGCUCAGAUAGAAGUGUAUUGUUUGUUAGAGAAGAGAGUGAAGAAGCAGAGCAGGAGCAUGGCUGCAACAGACAGAGUCGCCUCGCCAUAACACAGCUGUGUUGUUCUUCACACUCAGAAUGCCUGAUCUGAAACAUGGAUCAUCACAGCCUCGUAAUAUCAAAAAGAAGAAGAGAGAAAAAAAGGUCGCGUUGAGUUCGAACAACGACGAGGAUGUUGAAGAAGAAGUAGAAAGAGAAAGCGAGCGCACUUUUGCUGUUGUUGUUGUUGUUGGUGGUGGUGGUGGUGGUGUGUGUGUGUGUGUAGAGUAGAGAGAGAGAAAUAGAAACGAUGGAUCAUUGGCAAUGAGAGUGAGAAACUAACUCAUUCAUCAAAGCCUCACCUACUCAAAAUCACAAACUUGCAAUGCAAUGGCAACAAAAAAGGAGACUCAGAAAGAAAGAGACAGAAGGAUAGUGGUGGCUGCGUCAAAUACACCUCGCCACACAACCAUCCUUCCAUCAAUCAUCACUGCCUCUUUCAAAUUAGAAAGAAAAAAUAAAAGAAGAAGCAGUGUUGAAUCAACUACAUGCAAUGCAAAUCUUCUUCAAUACUUACCUUAUCGUCAUUCAGUUCAAACAUUAUUCACAAUUAACUCUUAGUUAAUGGAUACAGAUAAGGUAAUGGUAUUCGUAGUAACAGAUAUCCAUAUCCAUUAGUAAAUUAAUGAAAUUAUCAAAAUAUCAUUAUUAGGAGUGAAACCAGAUUGAAUCGUUGUAACCAAAAAAGAUUGAAUCCAAGUUAUGAAACUUGCAUAUCCACUAACUUGGUUGGCUAAUUUGUUCACAGUUUACAAGUGUCAACAUAUUUGACCAGAUACUUGUUUUCUAUAGAAGUGAGUAAUCAAUUUUACCCAAUAUCAAACUGUUCAAUAUUUCUUAAAUGCAGUAGGUUAAUGAGUGGCAUUUCUAGUAGGAAGAGUAAAGUAUUGAGAGCAAAAACAUGAUCACACUUUGAAUUUAAAACUAUUGUGUAAUGCAAGACUACUUUGACAAAAGAUUAGAGUAGGGUACCAACUUAGUUGGGUGCUAUUCUUUUUGGAUGUCAUUUUGCUUUUGAUUUAUCAAAAAAAAAAAAAAAAAUACUACUUUGACAAAAGUUAGAAGGUCUACAGGACAUGAACUGAAUAUUAAUAUCCGCAUAAUAUGAACUUGGGGUUGUCAAUGAGAUGAAUGAAAAAGAAAUGUACCUGAUUUCUUCGUCAAAAUAAAUAUCAAAUUUCUUGAGCUUCUACAGAUAUUGACAUCUUGUGUUUUGUUUGUGCCACAACCUGAAAAGAAAGAAGCGGUAAAAAACGAGAGAGAGGGAGGGAGGGAGAGAGAGAGAGAGAGAGAGUUAUACAUAACUCAUUUCAUCCUUAAAGAGUCUUUUGUCUCUGGAUUUAACAUUGAUUCAUACUGAAACCAGACAGACAUAAAACCUAAUCUAUAUCAGCCUCUCAUUCCUGACUCAGAAACAAAACAGAAAAAAGAAUAUCAUCAAGAAAUAACAUAAAAUUAAAUUGAUUAAAAAGCGCAAAGAGAAAUGGCAGAUGGAGAGUUGGGGAAAUAGUUAAUGCUAGAGAUUCAAAAAACAAAUUAAAGAAAUUAAAAAAAAAAAAAAAAUCCAAGUAAGGAAAGGAAAUGGUAAGAGGUGUAGAAAAGAGGAAUAGCAUAGGGGUGAGUAAGAGUGUGGGGAGUUUCGAAUAAGAAUAAGAGGCUCAGAUAGAGGUGUACUGUCAGAGAACAGAGUGAAGAGGAGGAGCACAAGCAUGGCUGCCACUGCAAGUUGGAGUCACCUCGCCAUGACACGGCUGUUUUCUUCUUCACUCACAAUGUCUGAUCUGAUGCAGUUGCAUGAAACAUCGUCACUGCCUCGUUAUAUCCAAAAGAAGAAGUGAGAAAGAAAAAAAGAAGGUCGAAUUGAGUUCGACGAGGAUGAUGAUGAUGAUGAAGAUUGCUGAAAGAGAAAGCAAGCGAGCUUUUGUUGUUU